GACGAACGCUGGCGGCGUGCUUAACACAUGCAAGUCGAACGCUGAAGCCUAGCUUGCUGGGUGGAUGAGUGGCGAACGGGUGAGUAACACGUGAGUAACCUGCCCUCUUCUUUGGGAUAACGCCCGGAAACGGGUGCUAGUACUGGAUAUUCACUGAUCUUCGCAUGGGGGUUGGUGGAAAGGUUUUUUCUGGUGGGGGAUGGGCUCGCGGCCUAUCAGCUUGUUGGUGGGGUGAUGGCCUACCAAGGCUUUGACGGGUAGCCGGCCUGAGAGGGUGACCGGUCACAUUGGGACUGAGAUACGGCCCAGACUCCUACGGGAGGCAGCGGUGGGGAAUAUUGCACAAUGGGCGAAAGCCUGAUGCAGCGACGCCGCGUGAGGGAUGGAGGCCUUCGGGUUGUAAACCUCUUUCGCUCAUGGUCAAGCCGCAGCUUUGGGUUGUGGUGAGGGUAGUGGGUAAAGAAGCGCCGGCUAACUACGUGCCAGCAGCCGCGGUAAUACGUAGGGCGCGAGCGUUGUCCGGAAUUAUUGGGCGUAAAGGGCUUGUAGGCGGUUGGUCGCGUCUGCCGUGAAAUCCUCUGGCUUAACUGGGGGCGUGCGGUGGGUACGGGCUGACUUGAGUGCGGUAGGGGAGACUGGAACUCCUGGUGUAGCGGUGGAAUGCGCAGAUAUCAGGAAGAACACCGGUGGCGAAGGCGGGUCUCUGGGCCGUUACUGACGCUGAGGAGCGAAAGCGUGGGGAGCGAACAGG
RNAcentral lists this ribosomal RNA (751 nucleotides) under uncultured Actinomyces sp. Its description in RNAcentral is "bacterial SSU rRNA". It matches the Rfam family "Bacterial small subunit ribosomal RNA", at positions 28 to 776 of the family's 1533-position model. Lineage: Bacteria; Bacillati; Actinomycetota; Actinomycetes; Actinomycetales; Actinomycetaceae. The record is from RNAcentral.